CCUACGGGGUGCAGCAGUGGGGAAUAUUGGACAAUGGGCGAAAGCCUGAUCCAGCCAUGCCGCGUGUGUGAAGAAGGCCUUCGGGUUGUAAAGCACUUUCAGUGGGGAAGAAAGCCUUGGGGCUAAUACCCUCGAGGAAGGACAUCACCCACAGAAGAAGCACCGGCUAACUCCGUGCCAGCAGCCGCGGUAAUACGGAGGGUGCGAGCGUUAAUCGGAAUUACUGGGCGUAAAGCGCGCGUAGGCGGUCUGAUAAGCCGGUUGUGAAAGCCCCGGGCUCAACCUGGGAACGGCAUCCGGAACUGUCAGGCUAGAAUGCAGGAGAGGAAGGUAGAAUUCCCGGUGUAGCGGUGAAAUGCGUAGAGAUCCGGAGGAAUACCAGUGGCGAAGGCGGCCUUCUGGACUGACACUGACGCUGAGGUGCGAAAGCGUGGGUAGCAAACAGGAUUAGAUACCCUUGUAGUC
This 465-nucleotide ribosomal RNA is filed under the name Vreelandella stevensii. RNAcentral's name for it is "partial 16S ribosomal RNA". It matches the Rfam family "Bacterial small subunit ribosomal RNA", at positions 338 to 795 of the family's 1533-position model. Lineage: Bacteria; Pseudomonadati; Pseudomonadota; Gammaproteobacteria; Oceanospirillales; Halomonadaceae. The record is from RNAcentral.